RNAcentral lists this ribosomal RNA (253 nucleotides) under uncultured bacterium. Its description in RNAcentral is "partial 16S ribosomal RNA". It matches the Rfam family "Bacterial small subunit ribosomal RNA", at positions 524 to 776 of the family's 1533-position model. The record is from RNAcentral.
UACGUAGGUGGCGAGCGUUGUCCGGAUUUAUUGGGCGUAAAGCGCCCGCAGGCGGCUUGGCAAGUUCCCGGUGAAAUCUCCCGGCUUAACUGGGAGAGGUCCGGGAAAACUGCCAGGCUUGAGGCAUGGAGAGGGAUGCGGAAUUCCAGGUGUAGCGGUGAAAUGCGUAGAUAUCUGGAGGAACACCAGCGGCGAAGGCGGCAUCCUGGCCAUGUCCUGACGCUCAGGGGCGAAAGCGUGGGGAGCAAACCGG